GCUAAAUACUCCUGACUGACCGAUAGUGAACCAGUACCGUGAGGGAAAGGCGAAAAGAACCCCUGUGAGGGGAGUGAAAUAGAACCUGAAACCGUGUACGUACAAGCAGUAGGAGCACCUUCGUGGUGUGACUGCGUACCUUUUGUAUAAUGGGUCAGCGACUUAUAUUCAGUGGCAAGGUUAACCGUAUAGGGGAGCCGUAGCGAAAGCGAGUCUUAACUGGGCGCUCAGUCUCUGGAUAUAGACCCGAAACCGGGUGAUCUAGCCAUGGGCAGGUUGAAGGUUGAGUAACAUCAACUGGAGGACCGAACCGACUAAUGUUGAAAAAUUAGCGGAUGACUUGUGGCUAGGGGUGAAAGGCCAAUCAAACUCGGAGAUAGCUGGUUCUCCCCGAAAGCUAUUUAGGUAGCGCCUCGGACGAAUACUACUGGGGGUAGAGCACUGUUAAGGCUAGGGGGUCAUCCCGACUUACCAACCCUUUGCAAACUCCGAAUACCAGUAAGUACUAUCCGGGAGACACACGGCGGGUGCUAACGUCCGUCGUGGAGAGGGAAACAACCCAGACCGCCAGCUAAGGUCCCAAAGUAUUGCUAAGUGGGAAACGAUGUGGGAAGGCUCAGACAGCUAGGAUGUUGGCUUAGAAGCAGCCAUCAUUUAAAGAAAGCGUAAUAGCUCACUAGUCGAGUCGGCCUGCGCGGAAGAUGUAACGGGGCUAAGCA
Molecule: ribosomal RNA, 719 nt
Filed under: Vibrio cholerae
Lineage: Bacteria; Pseudomonadati; Pseudomonadota; Gammaproteobacteria; Vibrionales; Vibrionaceae
Description: partial 23S ribosomal RNA
Rfam family: Bacterial large subunit ribosomal RNA
Source: RNAcentral